RNAcentral lists this ribosomal RNA (527 nucleotides) under uncultured organism. RNAcentral describes it as "bacterial SSU rRNA". It matches the Rfam family "Bacterial small subunit ribosomal RNA", at positions 770 to 1312 of the family's 1533-position model. The record is from RNAcentral.
GAACAGGAUUAGAGACCCUGGUAGUCCUAGCCCUAAACGAUGGAUGCUAGAUGUGGGGCCGAGAAGGCUCCGUGUCGCAGUUAACGCGGUAAGCAUCCCGCCUGGGAUUACGGCCGCAAGGCUAAAACUCAAACGAAUUGACGGGGCCCCGCACAAGCAGCGGAGCGUGUGGUUUAAUUCGAUGUUACACGAAGAACCUUACCUGGGUUUGACAUGUAAGUGGUAGUGAAGCGAAAGCGGAGCGACCCUUCGGGGAGCUUACACAGGUGCUGCAUGGCUGUCGUCAGCUCGUGCCGUGAGGUCUCGGGUUAAGUCCCGUAACGAGCGCAACCCUUGCCCUUAGUUACAAGUGUCUAAGGGGACUCCCGUCGGUAACCCGGAGGAAGGUGGGGAUGACGUCAAGUCUGCAUGGCCCUUAUAUCCAGGGCUACACACACGCUACAAUGGUCAGUACAAAGGGCAGCGAAGCCGCGAGGUGAAGCGAAUCCCACCAAAGCUGAUCUAAGUUCGGAUUGCAGGUUGCAACU